RNAcentral lists this ribosomal RNA (427 nucleotides) under uncultured beta proteobacterium. RNAcentral describes it as "bacterial SSU rRNA". It matches the Rfam family "Bacterial small subunit ribosomal RNA", at positions 355 to 774 of the family's 1533-position model. The record is from RNAcentral. Lineage: Bacteria; Pseudomonadati; Pseudomonadota; Betaproteobacteria.
UGGGGAAUUUUGGACAAUGGGCGAAAGCCUGAUCCAGCCAUGCCGCGUGAGUGAAGAAGGCCUUCGGGUUGUAAAGCUCUUUUAGUCGGAAAGAAAGAGUUGCAAUGAAUAAUUGUGAUUUAUGACGGUACCGACAGAAAAAGCACCGGCUAACUACGUGCCAGCAGCCGCGGUAAUACGUAGGGUGCGAGCGUUAAUCGGAAUUACUGGGCGUAAAGGGUGCGCAGGCGGUCUUGCAAGUCAGACGUGAAAGCCCCGGGCUUAACCUGGGAAUUGCGUUUGAAACUACAAGGCUAGAGUGCAGCAGAGGGGAGUGGAAUUCCAUGUGUAGCAGUGAAAUGCGUAGAGAUGUGGAAGAACACCGAUGGCGAAGGCAGCUCCCUGGGUUGACACUGACGCUCAUGCACGAAAGCGUGGGGAGCAAACA